CAGGAUGUAGCUCAGGGGUAGAGUGCUUGGUCGGGAACCAAGAGGCCGCGGGUUCAAUCCCCGCCAUCCUGA
This 72-nucleotide transfer RNA is filed under the name Roseobacter phage DSS3P8. It matches the Rfam family "tRNA". Rfam says of the family: Transfer RNA (tRNA) molecules are approximately 80 nucleotides in length. Their secondary structure includes four short double-helical elements and three loops (D, anti-codon, and T loops). Further hydrogen bonds mediate the characteristic L-shaped molecular structure. tRNAs have two regions of fundamental functional importance: the anti-codon, which is responsible for specific mRNA codon recognition, and the 3' end, to which the tRNAs corresponding amino acid is attached (by aminoacyl-tRNA synthetases). tRNAs cope with the degeneracy of the genetic code in two manners: having more than one tRNA (with a specific anti-codon) for a particular amino acid; and 'wobble' base-pairing, i.e. permitting non-standard base-pairing at the 3rd anti-codon position. Lineage: Duplodnaviria; Heunggongvirae; Uroviricota; Caudoviricetes. The record is from Rfam by way of RNAcentral.